CGUGCGCCUUCGCCGAAUCCCGUGUGCGGAACCGGGGAACCACCAACCCCUGGGGUGAAUCGGACCGUUCGCGGCCCGUAGGAGACCUUCCCGCUCCGAACCCGUCAGCUAACCCGGUAGGCGAGUCGGAAGGAAAGG
This 138-nucleotide small RNA is filed under the name Streptomyces sp. Its description in RNAcentral is "c-di-AMP sequence". It matches the Rfam family "c-di-AMP riboswitch aptamer (ydaO/yuaA leader)". Rfam says of the family: This family represents a conserved RNA structure found upstream of the ydaO and yuaA genes in Bacillus subtilis and related genes in other bacteria. RNAcentral also lists the same sequence under 1 other name. The record is from RNAcentral. Lineage: Bacteria; Bacillati; Actinomycetota; Actinomycetes; Kitasatosporales; Streptomycetaceae.